GACGAACGCUGGCGGCGUGCCUAAUACAUGCCAGUCGAACGCAUUUUCUUUCUCCGUAGCUUGCUACACCGAAAGAAAAUGAGUGGCGAACGGGUGAGUAACACGUGGGUAACCUGCCCAUCAGCGGGGGAUAACACUUGGAAACAGGUGCUAAUACCGCAUAAUUCCAUUUACUGCAUGGUAGAUGGAUGAAAGGCGCUUUUGCGUCACUGAUGGAUGGACCCGCGGUGCAUUAGCUAGUUGGUGGGGUAACGGCCUACCAAGGCUGCGAUGCAUAGCCGACCUGAGAGGGUGAUCGGCCACACUGGGACUGAGACACGGCCCAGACUCCUACGGGAGGCAGAAGUAGGGAAUCUUCGGCAAUGGACGCAAUUCUGACCGAGCAACGCCGCGUGAGUGAAGAAGUUUUUCGGAUCGUAAAACUCUGUUGUUAAAAAAAAAAAAGGAUGGGAGUGGAAAGUUCACCCCUUGACGGUAUCUAACCAGAAAGCCACGGCUAACUACGG
Molecule: ribosomal RNA, 506 nt
Filed under: uncultured bacterium
Lineage: Bacteria
Description: partial 16S ribosomal RNA
Rfam family: Bacterial small subunit ribosomal RNA
Source: RNAcentral